This 1020-nucleotide ribosomal RNA is filed under the name Salmonella enterica subsp. enterica serovar Manhattan. Its description in RNAcentral is "bacterial SSU rRNA". It matches the Rfam family "Bacterial small subunit ribosomal RNA", at positions 110 to 1126 of the family's 1533-position model. Lineage: Bacteria; Pseudomonadati; Pseudomonadota; Gammaproteobacteria; Enterobacterales; Enterobacteriaceae. The record is from RNAcentral.
GUAAUGUCUGGGAAACUGCCUGAUGGAGGGGGAUAACUACUGGAAACGGUGGCUAAUACCGCAUAACGUCGCAAGACCAAAGAGGGGGACCUUCGGGCCUCUUGCCAUCAGAUGUGCCCAGAUGGGAUUAGCUAGUUGGUGAGGUAACGGCUCACCAAGGCGACGAUCCCUAGCUGGUCUGAGAGGAUGACCAGCCACACUGGAACUGAGACACGGUCCAGACUCCUACGGGAGGCAGCAGUGGGGAAUAUUGCACAAUGGGCGCAAGCCUGAUGCAGCCAUGCCGCGUGUAUGAAGAAGGCCUUCGGGUUGUAAAGUACUUUCAGCGGGGAGGAAGGUGUUGUGGUUAAUAACCGCAGCAAUUGACGUUACCCGCAGAAGAAGCACCGGCUAACUCCGUGCCAGCAGCCGCGGUAAUACGGAGGGUGCAAGCGUUAAUCGGAAUUACUGGGCGUAAAGCGCACGCAGGCGGUCUGUCAAGUCGGAUGUGAAAUCCCCGGGCUCAACCUGGGAACUGCAUUCGAAACUGGCAGGCUUGAGUCUUGUAGAGGGGGGUAGAAUUCCAGGUGUAGCGGUGAAAUGCGUAGAGAUCUGGAGGAAUACCGGUGGCGAAGGCGGCCCCCUGGACAAAGACUGACGCUCAGGUGCGAAAGCGUGGGGAGCAAACAGGAUUAGAUACCCUGGUAGUCCACGCCGUAAACGAUGUCUACUUGGAGGUUGUGCCCUUGAGGCGUGGCUUCCGGAGCUAACGCGUUAAGUAGACCGCCUGGGGAGUACGGCCGCAAGGUUAAAACUCAAAUGAAUUGACGGGGGCCCGCACAAGCGGUGGAGCAUGUGGUUUAAUUCGAUGCAACGCGAAGAACCUUACCUGGUCUUGACAUCCACAGAACUUUCCAGAGAUGGAUUGGUGCCUUCGGGAACUGUGAGACAGGUGCUGCAUGGCUGUCGUCAGCUCGUGUUGUGAAAUGUUGGGUUAAGUCCCGCAACGAGCGCAACCCUUAUCCUUUGUUGCCAGCGGUC